RNAcentral lists this ribosomal RNA (1316 nucleotides) under Escherichia coli. RNAcentral describes it as "partial 23S ribosomal RNA". It matches the Rfam family "Bacterial large subunit ribosomal RNA", at positions 1551 to 2843 of the family's 2925-position model. Lineage: Bacteria; Pseudomonadati; Pseudomonadota; Gammaproteobacteria; Enterobacterales; Enterobacteriaceae. The record is from RNAcentral.
UAAGGCUGAGGCGUGAUGACGAGGCACUACGGUGCUGAAGCAACAAAUGCCCUGCUUCCAGGAAAAGCCUCUAAGCAUCAGGUAACAUCAAAUCGUACCCCAAACCGACACAGGUGGUCAGGUAGAGAAUACCAAGGCGCUUGAGAGAACUCGGGUGAAGGAACUAGGCAAAAUGGUGCCGUAACUUCGGGAGAAGGCACGCUGAUAUGUAGGUGAAGCGACUUGCUCGUGGAGCUGAAAUCAGUCGAAGAUACCAGCUGGCUGCAACUGUUUAUUAAAAACACAGCACUGUGCAAACACGAAAGUGGACGUAUACGGUGUGACGCCUGCCCGGUGCCGGAAGGUUAAUUGAUGGGGUCAGCGCAAGCGAAGCUCUUGAUCGAAGCCCCGGUAAACGGCGGCCGUAACUAUAACGGUCCUAAGGUAGCGAAAUUCCUUGUCGGGUAAGUUCCGACCUGCACGAAUGGCGUAAUGAUGGCCAGGCUGUCUCCACCCGAGACUCAGUGAAAUUGAACUCGCUGUGAAGAUGCAGUGUACCCGCGGCAAGACGGAAAGACCCCGUGAACCUUUACUAUAGCUUGACACUGAACAUUGAGCCUUGAUGUGUAGGAUAGGUGGGAGGCUUUGAAGUGUGGACGCCAGUCUGCAUGGAGCCGACCUUGAAAUACCACCCUUUAAUGUUUGAUGUUCUAACGUUGACCCGUAAUCCGGGUUGCGGACAGUGUCUGGUGGGUAGUUUGACUGGGGCGGUCUCCUCCUAAAGAGUAACGGAGGAGCACGAAGGUUGGCUAAUCCUGGUCGGACAUCAGGAGGUUAGUGCAAUGGCAUAAGCCAGCUUGACUGCGAGCGUGACGGCGCGAGCAGGUGCGAAAGCAGGUCAUAGUGAUCCGGUGGUUCUGAAUGGAAGGGCCAUCGCUCAACGGAUAAAAGGUACUCCGGGGAUAACAGGCUGAUACCGCCCAAGAGUUCAUAUCGACGGCGGUGUUUGGCACCUCGAUGUCGGCUCAUCACAUCCUGGGGCUGAAGUAGGUCCCAAGGGUAUGGCUGUUCGCCAUUUAAAGUGGUACGCGAGCUGGGUUUAGAACGUCGUGAGACAGUUCGGUCCCUAUCUGCCGUGGGCGCUGGAGAACUGAGGGGGGCUGCUCCUAGUACGAGAGGACCGGAGUGGACGCAUCACUGGUGUUCGGGUUGUCAUGCCAAUGGCACUGCCCGGUAGCUAAAUGCGGAAGAGAUAAGUGCUGAAAGCAUCUAAGCACGAAACUUGCCCCGAGAUGAGUUCUCCCUGACUCCUUGAGAGUCCUGAAGGAACGUUGAAG